Molecule: transfer RNA, 71 nt
Filed under: human gut metagenome
Also listed under: 1 other name
Rfam family: tRNA
About the family: Transfer RNA (tRNA) molecules are approximately 80 nucleotides in length. Their secondary structure includes four short double-helical elements and three loops (D, anti-codon, and T loops).
Source: RNAcentral
GGGAGUUAGCUCAGUUGGUUAGAGCGCCGGCCUGUCACGUCGGAGGUCGCGAGUUCAAGUCUCGUACUUCC